CCUACGGGGGGCAGCAGUGGGGGAUAUUGCACAAUGGGGGGAACCCUGAUGCAGCGACGCCGCGUGGGUGAAGGAGCGUUUCGGCGCGUAAAGCUCUAUCUGCAGGGAAGAAAAUUACGGUACCUGACCAAUAAGCCACGGCGAACUACGUGCCAGCAGCCGCGGUAAUACGUAGGGGGCAAGCGUUAUCCGGAUUUACUGGGUGUAAAGUGGGCGCAGACGGGAAUGCAAGCCGGUUGUGAAAGCGCGGGGCCUAACCCUGGGACUGAUCUUGAUACUGGAAGGCUGGAGUACAGGCGGGGCAGGCGGAAUUCCUGGUGUAGCGGUGAAAUGCGUAGAUAGUAGGAGGAACACCGGUGGCGAAGGCGGCCUGCUGGACUGUGACUGACGUUGAGGCCCGAAGGCGUGGGUAGCAAACAGGAUUAGAUACCCCUGUAGUC
Molecule: ribosomal RNA, 440 nt
Filed under: uncultured bacterium
Lineage: Bacteria
Description: partial 16S ribosomal RNA
Rfam family: Bacterial small subunit ribosomal RNA
Source: RNAcentral